RNAcentral lists this ribosomal RNA (895 nucleotides) under uncultured bacterium. RNAcentral's name for it is "bacterial SSU rRNA". It matches the Rfam family "Bacterial small subunit ribosomal RNA", at positions 75 to 987 of the family's 1533-position model. The record is from RNAcentral.
UGGAUUCGUUCAAGGUGAAAGUGGCGAACGGGUGAGUAACACGUUGGUGAUCUGCCCCGGAGUGGGGGAUAACUAUCGGAAACGAUAGCUAAUACCCCAGAUGUUAUCGUGUUUGGAAAGCGAUAACUAAAGUUCAGGCGCUCCGGGAGGAGCCUGCGUCCCAUCAGCUAGUUGGUAGGGUAAUGGCCUACCAAGGCAAAGACGGGUAGGGGGCGUGAGAGCGUGGCCCCCCACACUGGUACUGACACACGGACCAGAUGCCUACGGGUAGCAGCAGCUAGGAAUAUUGGGCAAUGGGCGAAAGCCUGACCCAGCAACACCGCGUGAAGGACGAAGGCCUUCGGGUUGUAAACUUCUUUUCGAGGGAAAGAGAAAGGACGGUACCCUCGGAAUAAGGCCCGGCUAACUACGUGCCAGCAGCCGCGGUAAUACGUAGGGGCCAAGCGUUAUCCGGAUUUACUGGGCGUAAAGCGCAUGUAGGCGGUCGAUCAAGUCGGAUGUGAAAGCUCCUGGCUUAACUGGGAGAGGUCAUUCGAAACUAGUUGGCUGGAGGGUGGUAGAGGAGAGCGGAAUUCCAGGUGUAGCGGUGAAAUGCGUAGAUAUCUGGAGGAACACCAGUGGCGAAAGCGGCUCUCUGGACCAUUCCUGACGCUGAGAUGCGAAAGCCAGGGGAGAGAACGGGAUUAGAAACCCCGGUAUUCCUGGCCGUAAACGAUGUCAACUAGGCGUAGGAGGUUAUAAACCCCUUCUGUGCUGUAGCAAACGCGUUAAGUUGACCGCCUGGGGACUACGGCCGCAAGGCUAAAACUCAAAGGAAUUGACGGGUCCCCGCACAAGCAGCGGAGCGUGUGGUUUAAUUCGAGGCUACGCGAAGAACCUUACCAGGGUUUGACAU